Molecule: ribosomal RNA, 479 nt
Filed under: uncultured bacterium
Lineage: Bacteria
Description: bacterial SSU rRNA
Rfam family: Bacterial small subunit ribosomal RNA
Source: RNAcentral
AACGAACGCUGGCGGUAUGCUUAACACAUGCAAGUCGAACGAACAUAUUGAUUUCGGUUAAUAAGUUAGUGGCAGACGGGUGAGUAACGCGUGGGAAUGUACCCUUUAGUUCAGAAUAACUACGGGAAACUGUAGCUAAUACUGGAUAAGCCCUUCGGGGGAAAGAUUAAUCGCUAAAGGAACAGCCCGCGUUAGAUUAGGUAGUUGGUGAGGUAAAAGCUCACCAAGCCGACGAUCUAUAGCUGGUUUGAGAGGAUGAUCAGCCACACUGGGACUGAGACACGGCCCAGACUCCUACGGGAGGCAGCAGUGGGGGAAUAUUGGACAAUGGGGGCAACCCUGAUCCAGCAAUACCGCGUGAGUGAAGAAGGCCUUCGGUUGUAAAGCUCUUUACCGGGGUAAGAUAAUGACGGUACCCGGGGAAGUAAGACUCCGGCCGUAACUUCGUGCCAGCAGCCGCGGUAAUCGUGUAGGUCGUU